UGGGGAAUAUUGCACAAUCGGCGCAAGCCUGAUGCAGCCAUGCCGCGUGUGUGAAGAAGGCCUUCGGGUUGUAAAGCACUUUCAGCGGGGAGGAAGGCGGUGAGGUUAAUAACCUCAUCGAUUGACGUUACCCGCAGAAGAAGCACCGGCUAACUCCGUGCCAGCAGCCGCGGUAAUACGGAGGGUGCAAGCGUUAAUCGGAAUUACUGGGCGUAAAGCGCACGCAGGCGUUCUGUCAAGUCGGAUGUGAAAUCCCCGGGCUCAACCUGGGAACUGCAUUCGAAACUGGCAGGCUAGAGUCUUUUAGAGGGGGGUAGAAUUCCAGGUGUAGCGGUGAAAUGCGUAGAGAUCUGGAGGAAUACCGGUGGCGAAGGCGGCCCCCUGGACAAAGACUGACGCUCAGGUGCGAAAGCGGGAUGAGCAAACAGG
This 429-nucleotide ribosomal RNA is filed under the name Chloroflexota bacterium. Its description in RNAcentral is "Chloroflexi bacterium partial 16S ribosomal RNA". It matches the Rfam family "Bacterial small subunit ribosomal RNA", at positions 355 to 776 of the family's 1533-position model. The record is from RNAcentral. Lineage: Bacteria; Bacillati; Chloroflexota.